ACCAUUAAAAAAAAAAUUGAGAAGGAGCCGAGAAAACUAAAACCCUAGUUCCAUCUUUUCGUCGCUCCUUCUUUCUCUCUCUCUCUCACGCUCUCUCCUAGUUCCGUGGCAUGAUUCGGGGCUAUGUUUAAGUAUGGAAGCAACAACAACAGAGGAAUCAACCGUUACUACGGGAGAGGAGAGACGGAAGACGAGGCUCGCCGAGCCAAGCCAAGCCAAGCCAAGCCCAGCAUUCGGUUCCUUAAAAUCAAAGCAAGUUAGAAGAUAUCUGCUGAAUCGGUGAAGGGGGUAUAACCGAAGUAACGAAUGGCGCAAAAGGGGGUUUUCUUUGAGACUAAGUACACCAUCGUCCAUCAAGUUAUGCAUAGGUCAACUCAAGGAACUGUUGUGAGGCAGUUAAAUUUUGCUACAGUGUCUUGGUGGAGCUGAACACAAAUGCCUCUUCUCAGUCGAGGUAAUCAAAAUUACCUCUCUGAAAUGUCCCAUCUUAAAGUCCCUGUCCCUGUCCAUGAUGGUAGAAUAAUAACAAAUGCCUCGGGUUGGUUGAGAGGUAAUCAAACUGAAUGUCCCUGUCCCUAAUAAAAAACGAGAUUGUCCCAUGUUCUAUAAUUUCUCGGGUUCCUAGUCACCGAGCUGAAACAAAUGCCUCGUACUGCUAAGGUAAUUUAAAUUACCUCUCUUAAGGUCCAUGUCCCUAUCCCUGAUGGUAGAAUGAUAACAAAUGCCUCUCUGAAUGUCCCAUCUUAAAGUCCCUGUCCCAGGCCAUGAUGGUAGAAUGAUAACAAAAUGCCUCGGGUUGCUCGAGGUAAUCAAAAUUACCUCUCUGAAUGUCCCUGUCCCUGUCCAUGUCCCUGAUGGUAGUAUGAAAACAAAUGCCUCGUGUUGAUUGAGGUAAUCAAAAUUACCUCUUUGAAUGUCCCUGUCCCUGAUGGUAGAAUGAAAACAAAUGCCUCGUGUUGGUCCCUGUCUCUAAUGAAAACGACUGUCCCAGUUCUGUGUAGAUUCUCGGGUUCCUAGUAACCGAGCUGAAACAAAUGCCUCGUGUUGGUUGAGGUAAUUUUAAUUACCUCUUUGAAUGUCCCUGUCCCUGUCCCUGUCUCUGAUGGUAGAAUGAAAACAAAUGCCUCGUGUUGGUUGAGGUAAUUUUAAUUACCUCUUUGAAUGUCCCUGUCCCUGUCCCUGUCUCUGAUGGUAGAAUGAAAACAAAUGCCUCGUGUUGGUCCCUGUCCCUGUCCCUGUCCCUAAUGAAAACGACUGUCCCAGUUCUGUGUAGAUUCUCGGGCUCCUAGUAACCGAGCUGAAACAAAUGCCUCGUGUUGGUUGAGGUAAUUUAAAUUACCUCUUUGAAUGUCCCUGAUGGUAGGCUCUGCAGUCCCAGCUUCUUAAUUACUCGGGUUCCUAGUCACCCAAUGUAAAAACAAAUGCCUGGCCUAUGAAAUAGCUUGAGAUCCUAGUCACUCAAGCCAAAAGAAAUGUCCCUAUGGUAAAACGCAAGCGAGGGUUCCUAGUCACCAGAGCGAAAAGAACAAAUGCCUCGACUCGGUAUGAGAUCCUAGUUGCUCAUGCAACUGGGAUUUCCAUUAGUGUGGGGGUUUAGUCGUCUAACCCAAAAACAAAUGCCUCGACGCGGUAUGAUAUUGAGGGUUCCUAGUCACCUGAGUGAAAAGAACAAAUGCCUCGACUCGGUAUGAGAUCCUUGCUGCUCAUGCAACUGGGAUUUCCAUUAGUGUGGGGGUUUAGUCGUCUAACCCAAAAACAAAUGCCUCGGCGGGGUAUGAGAUUGAGGGUUCCUAGUCACCUGAGUGAAAAGAACAAAUGCCUCGACUCGGUAUGAGAUCCUUGCUGCUCAUGCAACUGGGAUUUCCAUUAGUGUGGGGGUUUAGUCGUCUAACCCAAAAACAAAUGCCUCGGCGGGGUAUGAGAUUGAGGGUUCCUAGUCACCUGAGUGAAAAGAACAAAUGCCUCGACUCGGUAUGAGAUCCUUGUUGCUCAUGCAAUUGGGAUUUCCAUUAGUUUGGGGGUUUAGUCAUCUAACCCAAAAACAAAUGCCUCCACUCGGUAUGAGAAUGAGAUAUCUCGUUAGAAGUACUUAUGCCGAAAGUGAACUCCUAAAUGACGCAAAUCAGGUAGUUCCUUACCCUUACCUCUUGACUUGCUUAAAACAGCUCUGCAAAAUCAAUAUACAGUAUGUGAAUUCAGGUAUGUAAAUUUCUGUUUCUUCUAUAUCUGAUGUCUUAUUAUAUUCAGUUUCGUUAUAAUAUUGUUUCUAAACUGAAUCCUCUUCUUUUUUUUUUGGCGUCUAAAACAUUCAUGGUUUUGCAGACACUUACAUAGAUCUUCUAACAUCACAUAUUUUUUUGCGCAGGCUGUUGUUCCUCGGUUUCCAAAGAUCAUCAUCAGGUUAUUUUCAGGGUAGACUCUUCGGUUUAUAUUCUUCCUCAUAUUCCCCAUUUUAAGAAUUGGAAUCAGUCUGUUAAAAUUAUGCAUAUUGCCUUUGCUUAAGUUUGUCUCAAGUUCAAAAAGAAAGUAGAUUUUCUUAAGUUUGUCUCAAGUUCAAAAAGAAAGUAGAUCAUUCUAUAAGUUGUUACUGUUACUGGAAAAAGAUAGUAAAUCACUUGAUAAUUUUAUUACUCCGUUUCUAAUUGUAGAGCAGAUUGCAUAAUUAUUAACACUUUUUUAACUUGCUAACUGAUAGUUUUGUUUGUCAAAAUUCCAUCAAGAAUUGAGUUUGUUGAGUGUCUUUAGGUGACUAGAGCUAAUUAAAAUGGUUCAACUCAUGUUUACACAUGUGAUUCUCUGUUGAAAUUGUAUUCCUGUAAAUUGUCAAUUUUAAUAUAUUCUAUGAUCUUGAUAUCUUUAUACAAAUUAGAAAGCUGCAUUUUUUUCUAUUAUUUGUGACAUUCAAGUUCGUCUAGAAAACCAUUCAAUUACUUGUAGUAUGAGUGAUACAAUGUUUUCCUGUGCUUCCAUUUAAGUGUAGCCGUGUAGAUAAAUAUGUGACAGCUGAAUGUUGUUCUGGAAGAUCCUAUAGUUGUGUCUGCUUACUAUAUCUUAUGUUAUCUGGUGUUCACAAUAUUGAUUGAGCAGUAUCUUCUCUGACUUGUAUAGAAUGAUUGAUACAAUUGAGUAUUUUCUGUGAUGGUUCAUAUUUGAUUCUUAGAGAACCUCAUGUCUGAGAUCUGUCGGGUUUGUCGUAAUGCAACCCAUUUGCAUUAUGAAAACAGAGGAAGUUUUGUGUAGCAAUAGAAUUUUAUGGAUAUUUUGUUAGGUGCAUUGUUCUCAUUUGUGAUUUCUUAUUCCAGUUACGCAUUCGGCUUACCCUUUGUAUCAUCUUGUUGUUAGUUACUUACUCAUUUGGUCAUUCGGCUUAUUCCUUGUUUGUUGAGAUUUCUCAGUAAUGACAUGUUUUAGUAUAAUUGGCUAUCUUGUUUCCUAUGAUUGGUAAUGAAUAUUAGUGAUCUAUAAAAUUGACCACUUCUUACUGUUGAAGCUGAAUAGCAUAGCAGUUCUUUUAGCUUUGUAAAUAUUUCGGCAUCUGAUUUUGAGUAUGUUUCAUGUUGCUAUUAUAGUUUUAUUCAUUCUUGUUGCUAUUUUUGUUAUGGUCUGAUCUGACCUUGGUUAUUUUGGAUUCAGCUAUCGUUGGAUGAAACCUAAGAUGUUGUUAUCAUGUAAAGUUUGCCUUAAUUUCUUUUUCAGGAAUGACUCUGUUUCUAAUGUUUGUGCUCAUAUGAUUUAGAGCAGAUACUAAUAGUUUUGGGUUUCCUUUUGUUUGUCAAUGUUCUAUGGAUGACUGAGUUGGUGAGAGUAAAAGUAUCGUUCAGUGUCUUUAAGGUCACUAGAGUUAAAAUGGUGUAACUCAUAUUUACACAUAUAAUUUUUCAAUGUUAAAUAUUCUGUAGGAUUUUACUUCCUUUAUACAAAGAUAAAAAGCUGUAUUUGUUUUUAUUUUGUGUUAACAUCCAAGUUUAAGUAGAAACCACUCACUUACAUGUAGUGUGAGUGGUAUAAUAAUGUUUGUGUUUCGUUUAAGUGCAGCCGUGUAGCUAAAUAUUUAGUGUUUUGUUCUGGGAGAUGGUAUAAUAGUUGUGUAUGCUUACCAUAUCUAGUGUUCAUCACAUUAUUGAUUGAGCAAACUAUAUCUUGUCUGACUUGAGCAGGAUGACUGAUUCAAUGAGUUCAUAUCUUUUAUGUGUUAGUUCGUUCAUAUCUGAUUCUUAGGGAACCUCGUGUGAUUCAGAUCUGUCGUGUUGCAAUCCAUUUGCCUUAUGAAUAUUACUACAUGGAUUUAGAGUGCAUUUUUUUUACUUGAUUCCUUUUUACAUUUUGUCUAGCUGUUAGUAGUUCGAUACCGUCCUAAAUGGUUGUACUUGUGUCUCCUCUGUUACUUUGCCCGUCGUAGCUUUCUCUUCAUCCCAGAGUUUACUCUCUCUGGUACUCACUCGGCCACCUUAAUUGGUGGUUGCUUCCUUGAGGUACUUUUAAAUUACCUCUUCGUUCUAAAUUACUGUUUUUUUUAAUUCUUUUCCUGUUUAAGGUGUUGUGAUUUCGCAAUUUAAUAUGGACGGUUCUUUUUUAUAUUUCAUAUAACAACCCAUAUAAUAUUUACAAGAACCAUAUAUAACCAAUUUACAAGAACAACAUAUAACCAAUUUAAAUUAUUUAAUAGAAAUUAUCAGUUAAAAAAAACAAAAUAUAAUACCAAGGAAAAAAAAAUUAAAAGAACCAACAAAAUUUUAGUUCUAUGAUGAUGGCUAUAUAGUAUAUGCUCAAAAGAAACAGCAAAUAAAUACAUUACUAUGCAUUUUAUCCGUCAAGAUAAUUGCAUAUUCUGAAGAAAUGGAAAUGUUCUCCAUUAAAAAC
Camelina sativa (false flax) is the source of this 4860-nucleotide long non-coding RNA. RefSeq lists it as uncharacterized. The record is from RefSeq and is a predicted model, not a curated record. Lineage: Eukaryota; Viridiplantae; Streptophyta; Magnoliopsida; Brassicales; Brassicaceae.